RNAcentral lists this ribosomal RNA (375 nucleotides) under uncultured organism. RNAcentral describes it as "partial 16S ribosomal RNA". It matches the Rfam family "Bacterial small subunit ribosomal RNA", at positions 527 to 897 of the family's 1533-position model. The record is from RNAcentral.
GGGGGGGGCAAGCGUUGUUCGGAAUUACUGGGCGUAAAGGGCGCGUAGGCGGCCCGGCCAGUCCCUUGUGAAAUCCCACAGCUCAACUGUGGAACUGCAGGGGAUACUGCCAGGCUUGAGUCCGGGAGAGGGGAGUGGAAUUCCCAGUGUAGCGGUGAAAUGCGUAGAUAUUGGGAGGAACACCGGUGGCGAAGGCGGCUCCCUGGACCGGUACUGACGCUGAGGCGCGAAAGCUAGGGGAGCAAACGGGAUUAGAUACCCCGGGUAGUCCUAGCUGUAAACGUUGAGCAUUGGUGUGGCGGGUAUCGACCCCCCUGCUGUGCCGAAGCUAACGCAUUAAGUGCUCCGCCUGGGGGAGUACGGUCGCAAGGCUGA